Molecule: unclassified non-coding RNA, 345 nt
Filed under: soil metagenome
Description: partial contains 5.8S ribosomal RNA, internal transcribed spacer 2, and large subunit ribosomal RNA
Rfam family: 5.8S ribosomal RNA (bases 1-120)
Source: RNAcentral
GAUGAAGAACGCAGCGAAAUGCGAUACGUAAUGUGAAUUGCAGAAUUCAGUGAAUCAUCGAGUCUUUGAACGCACAUUGCGCCCCCUGGUAUUCCGGGGGGCAUGCCUGUCCGAGCGUCAUUGCUGCCCUCAAGCACGGCUUGUGUGUUGGGCCUCCGUCCUCCUCCCGGGGGACGGGCCCGAAAGGCAGCGGCGGCACCGCGUCCGGUCCUCGAGCGUAUGGGGCUUCGUCACCCGCUCUUGGAGGCCCGGCCGGCGCUUGCCGACACAUCAAUCUUUUUUCCAGGUUGACCUCGGAUCAGGUAGGGAUACCCGCUGAACUUAAGCAUAUCAAUAAGCGGAGGA